Molecule: ribosomal RNA, 398 nt
Filed under: uncultured bacterium
Lineage: Bacteria
Description: partial 16S ribosomal RNA
Rfam family: Bacterial small subunit ribosomal RNA
Source: RNAcentral
AUACGUAGGGUGCGAGCGUUGUCCGGAAUUACUGGGCGUAAAGAGCUCGUAGGUGGUUUGUCGCGUCGUCUGUGAAAUUCCGGGGCUUAACUCCGGGCGUGCAGGCGAUACAGGCAUAACUUGAGUACUGUAGGGGAGACUGGAAUUCCUGGUGUAGCGGUGAAAUGCGCAGAUAUCAGGAGGAACACCGGGGGCGAAGGCGGGUCUCUGGGCAGUAACUGACGCUGAGGAGCGAAAGCAUGGGUAGCGAACAGGAUUAGAUACCCUGGUAGUCCAUGCCGUAAACGGUGGGCGCUAGGUGUAGGGGUCUUCCACGACUUCUGUGCCGUAGCUAACGCAUUAAGCGCCCCGCCUGGGGAGUACGGCCGCAAGGCUAAAACUCAAAGGAAUUGACGGGG